RNAcentral lists this ribosomal RNA (930 nucleotides) under Pseudoanthostomella conorum. RNAcentral describes it as "eukaryotic LSU rRNA". It matches the Rfam family "Eukaryotic large subunit ribosomal RNA", at positions 1 to 955 of the family's 3401-position model. Lineage: Eukaryota; Fungi; Ascomycota; Sordariomycetes; Xylariales. The record is from RNAcentral.
GUUGACCUCGGAUCAGGUAGGAAUACCCGCUGAACUUAAGCAUAUCAAUAAGCGGAGGAAAAGAAACCAACAGGGAUUGCCCUAGUAACGGCGAGUGAAGCGGCAACAGCUCAAAUUUGAAAUCUGGCCUUCUGGUCCGAGUUGUAAUUUGUAGAGGAUGCUUUUGGUUAGGUACCUUCCGAGUUCCCUGGAACGGGACGCCUUAGAGGGUGAGAGCCCCGUACGGUUGGAUGCCGAGCCUCUGUAAAGCUCCUUCGACGAGUCGAGUAGUUUGGGAAUGCUGCUCUAAAUGGGAGGUAAAUUUCUUCUAAAGCUAAAUACCAGCCAGAGACCGAUAGCGCACAAGUAGAGUGAUCGAAAGAUGAAAAGCACUUUGAAAAGAGGGUUAAAUAGCACGUGAAAUUGUUGAAAGGGAAGCGCUUAUGACCAGACCUUUUCCAGGCGGAUCAUCCGGUGUUCUCACCGGUGCACUUCGCCUGGCUUAGGCCAGCGUCGAUUUUCGCAGGGGGAAAAAGGCUUCGGGAAUGUGACUCCCUCCGGGGAGUGUUAUAGCCCGUUGCGUAAUACCCUUGUGGGGAUCGAGGUUCGCGCUCUGCAAGGACGCUGGCAUAAUGGUCAUCAGUGACCCGUCUUGAAACACGGACCAAGGAGUCGAACAUUUGUGCGAGUGUUUGGGUGAUAAACCCUCACGCGUAAUGAAAGUGAACGGAGGUGAGAGCCCUUACGGGUGCAUCAUCGACCGAUCCUGAUGUCUUCGGAUGGAUUUGAGUAGGAGCAUAACUGUUCGGACCCGAAAGAUGGUGAACUAUGCGUGGAUAGGGUGAAGCCAGAGGAAACUCUGGUGGAGGCUCGCAGCGGUUCUGACGUGCAAAUCGAUCGUCAAAUCUGCGCAUGGGGGCGAAAGACUAAUCGAACCAUUAAACCAGCGGU